GAGCUGUUUUCUCUGAAGUUUUCGGAUGGAAGAGAGUUCAGCUUAGUGGCGAACGGGUGAGUAACACGUGAGCAACCUGCCUUUCAGUGGGGGACAACAUUUGGAAACGAAUGCUAAUACCGCAUAAGACCACAGUGUCGCAUGGCACAGGGGUCAAAGGAUUUAUCCGCUGAAAGAUGGGCUCGCGUCCGAUUAGCUAGAUGGUGAGGUAACGGCCCACCAUGGCGACGAUCGGUAGCCGGACUGAGAGGUUGAACGGCCACAUUGGGACUGAGACACGGCCCAGACUCCUACGGGAGGCAGCAGUGGGGAAUAUUGCACAAUGGGGGAAACCCUGAUGCAGCGACGCCGCGUGGAGGAAGAAGGUCUUCGGAUUGUAAACUCCUGUCCCAGGGGACGAUAAUGACGGUACCCUGGGAGGAAGCACCGGCUAACUACGUGCCAGCAGCCGCGGUAAAACGUAGGGUGCAAGCGUUGUCCGGAAUUACUGGGUGUAAAGGGAGCGCAGGCGGAUUGGCAAGUUGGGAGUGAAAUCUAUGGGCUCAACCCAUAAAUUGCUUUCAAAACUGUCAGUCUUGAGUGGUGUAGAGGUAGGCGGAAUUCCCGGUGUAGCGGUGGAAUGCGUAGAUAUCGGGAGGAACACCAGUGGCGAAGGCGGCCUACUGGGCACUAACUGACGCUGAGGCUCG
Molecule: ribosomal RNA, 689 nt
Filed under: uncultured Lachnospiraceae bacterium
Lineage: Bacteria; Bacillati; Bacillota; Clostridia; Lachnospirales; Lachnospiraceae
Description: bacterial SSU rRNA
Rfam family: Bacterial small subunit ribosomal RNA
Source: RNAcentral